RNAcentral lists this ribosomal RNA (399 nucleotides) under uncultured bacterium. Its description in RNAcentral is "partial 16S ribosomal RNA". It matches the Rfam family "Bacterial small subunit ribosomal RNA", at positions 360 to 776 of the family's 1533-position model. The record is from RNAcentral.
AAUCUUAGACAAUGGGCGCAAGCCUGAUCUAGCCAUGCCGCGUGAGCGAUGAAGGCCUUAGGGUCGUAAAGCUCUUUCAGGGGGGAAGAUAAUGACUGUACCCUCAGAAGAAGCCCCGGCUAACUCCGUGCCAGCAGCCGCGGUACGACGUAGGGGGGUUGCGUUGUUCGGAAUUACUGGGCGUAAAGCGCACGUAGCCGGACUGGAAAGUUGGGGGUGAAAUCCCGGGGCUCAACCCCGGAACUGCCUUCAAAACUUCCGGUCUUGAGGUCGAGAGAGGUGAGUGGAAUUCCGAGUGUAGAGGUGAAAUUCGUAGAUAUUCGGAGGAACACCAGUGGCGAAGGCGGCUCACUGGCUCGAUACUGACGCUGAGGUGCGAAAGCGUGGGGAGCAAACAGG